Molecule: ribosomal RNA, 457 nt
Filed under: Clathrospora diplospora
Lineage: Eukaryota; Fungi; Ascomycota; Dothideomycetes; Pleosporales; Diademaceae
Description: LSU rRNA
Rfam family: Eukaryotic large subunit ribosomal RNA
Source: RNAcentral
GGAUUGCCCUAGUAACGGCGAGUGAAGCGGCAACAGCUCAAAUUUGAAAUCUGGCUCUUUUAGAGUCCGAGUUGUAAUUUGCAGAGGGCGCUUUGGCUUUGGCAGCGGUCCAAGUUCCUUGGAACAGGACGUCACAGAGGGUGAGAAUCCCGUACGUGGUCGCUGGCUAUUGCCGUGUAAAGCCCCUUCGACGAGUCGAGUUGUUUGGGAAUGCAGCUCUAAAUGGGAGGUACAUUUCUUCUAAAGCUAAAUAUUGGCCAGAGACCGAUAGCGCACAAGUAGAGUGAUCGAAAGAUGAAAAGCACUUUGGAAAGAGAGUCAAACAGCACGUGAAAUUGUUGAAAGGGAAGCGCUUGCAGCCAGACUUGCUUACAGUUGCUCAUCCGGGUUUCUACCCGUGCACUCUUCUGUAGGCAGGCCAGCAUCAGUUUGGGCGGUAGGAUAAAGGUCUCUGUCA